GGCACUCAGUCAAGAGUUGGGCGUAAGUUCGGGCCAAGGCCUCGAAGCGCUCCGGCGACUGGCUAAUCGCUCAAAGGGGCUGCCUAAGUGAGCGCCUUUGAGCCCCCAACCCCGGGUUUCUUCAGUUCCUGGGCCUGGGCUCCAGGCUCUCGGUUCUUCAACACGUCGCCCGGCCCGGUGCAGCAAACAGUUUUUCCUCAACCAUUCCGGGGUUUCUGAGCCGUUCGGCUCGCAGCAGAAAAGUAAAAAAAGAGCCGCCCUUCCAGCCCAGGCUAGCUCCGGCCGGGCCACUCUAGCCCUGGCCGCCCCGCCACUCACCAGGUUGGGCAGUCGAACAGCGGGAGGCUAGAGCCGGAGUUCGCGGCUGCCGCCAUCUUGCGUCUCCCCCUCCCAUUUGGCGCGCCCUAAGCACGCCGGGAAACUGGAAGACCGAGAAGGGAAAAGCGGCAUCCCAGCAGCCUACGCGUUGGGAGGAUUAUCUGACCAGUUUUUCCUUUUUUAAAUAAAUCAAUUGCUAAGUUCCUGUUCAUCCAGAAAGAGGCACUGCUCAGCAAGUUGAGGAAUCUAUGAUGAAAGUAGUUCUUUUCUUGCUUCCAUGCUACUGGUUCUGUAGAAAAUCAGCCUAUUCAAAAGAUUUUUGCCCUUGAUGAAGUCUCCAGCCCUCAAGAUUUAACUGCAAUAUAACUUAGAAGGAGUGAGAAGAUCAAAAAAGUAACUGCAAUAUAACAUUAACUUGGAUUUUAAGAUUAUCAACUCUUAGGUAGACUGGAGAAACACCUUUUCCUCUGGCCUUUAAAGCACAAUAAACUUAUCCAGCAAGGAUGGCGACUAAUCAGAUCACUUAUCAAAUGGCCUGUUAAUAUCCUCCUUUUCAGCCUUGUGAUUCCAAAGUAAGACUAGGCUGAUUGGAAAAAUUCAAAUUCUAAACUUGGUUUCAAGAAAACAGAAAUAAUCCUAUGUCCCUCUCUUCUGAAUACAGGGCAUGAUUUUUUAGAAGGAAUUAGUCCCAAAAGUUUUUGAGUCUAACAGAAAAGAAGAAGAUACUUUUACCUACAGAAAUUGUGUGGGCCUUUGAGGUUCUAUGCUCCUUUUAGGCAUAACAUGGUGUUGAAGCCAUUUGCAGUUAGCAGUGACCUGAUAGUAUCUUAUGGCAACUUUGUAUUUCAACUUCUCAGCUUGUGUGAUCCUUCUAUUGCUGACUAUAGACCCAGGAAACCUAAAAGCUACAUCUUACCUUUCUAAUUCUUUACUCCUUGGCCAUGUUCUGUUUCUAGCACAGUAGAUAUUCACACGUGGCACCUUAUGCUUACCUAGGCCCUCAUAAAGCAAAAUGCUCUUUGUUUGGGCACCAAUGAUGUCAGUAUAGACCAGCAAACUAGAGGGCAGCAAUCUAGGUCCUUAACCUUUUAAAAUAGACUGAUGUACUAGCUGCCUUUGGAUUUUGGUAUCUCAAUAAAGAGAUUAGUAUGUU
Molecule: long non-coding RNA, 1471 nt
Organism: Homo sapiens (human)
Lineage: Eukaryota; Metazoa; Chordata; Mammalia; Primates; Hominidae
Source: Ensembl